Molecule: long non-coding RNA, 2570 nt
Organism: Lepus europaeus (European hare)
Lineage: Eukaryota; Metazoa; Chordata; Mammalia; Lagomorpha; Leporidae
Exons: 3
Source: RefSeq, a predicted model, not a curated record
CGCUAAGCGUUCACUCUCCGGACGGCUCUGAUGCACACUGCUGUCUUCCCCGGCCUUGUGAUUGCUGUGUGAGUGCGUGUGCGCGCCGCCCCUCUCCUGCCUGCUCUGGUGUCGUUCACAGCAGCGUAGCAGCCAGUGUCCGAGGUGGCCGCGAUGAUCGCCACCCCCCGACAUUGCACAGGACCGGCCCGGGUGUCCAGGAAACCUCCAUGGGGCCACUCGGCUCUCUCGGCCGGGUCGUGAGGCACUCCCGGGGAGGCUGGGGCUGCCCCCACAGCCAGCCCGUCUGCCAGCCGAGUGGGCGGCUUCGGGUGACAGCAAUUCCAGCGCACGGUGACUGCAGUCUCCCAGGAGACGCGACAUCAGCGGCACCCCACCAGGGGCUUUGGACUCCCCUCGGGACACAGAGUGGCGGAGUGUGAAUGCUGGCUCUCCUAGCAGCUAAAGGUGGGGGUAAUUUGCUUUGCAGGAAUGAAGAAAGAAAAGCAGGUUUGUCAUUUGGUCGGCGGGGACAUGCGCGACCUGACACUUCCUGCUUGGAACUUGGGCAAGCUGUGCUUUCUGCUGGAUGUGCCUGCCGCCCUCUUUCCCAGCUGCCCCACUGAAGAGUCCCGCGGGGCUCUCUGGGAGAUGUGUGGGAAUGUGCGUAACAGGACCUGUCUCACAGGAAGGCGGGAGGAGGAAGCGUGAGGGUUCCAGAAGCAGUCUGGGUAAUGGAAUUCAAGACUUACUACCUCGUGGUUGCAAGAUGGUCACAGAAGCUCCAGACAUCACAAUCGUGUGACAGCAACCAAAGGCAGAGCACAGAGGGAGCAGAGCAAGACACAGGAACGUUUCGAAGCACCUUCCUAUCCUUAGUCUUCCCUCCCACUAGACUGAAGUGCCACAAGGGCGGCGACACGUAACACGCAAGUCUGAACCUGGAACGAGGCUUGGCGUGUGAGAGCUACGGUUGUCACUGCUGAGGGCCACACAUUGUGGGAGUCGGUGGCCCAAAUAGCCCCUGGCAUAAAGCAGACAUCAGGGGAUGCCUGUUGAGUGCACAGCUGGGAGCUCACUCGUAGGAGAACCCAGGAGAUCCUGCUGGGAGAGAUGGAGCUGUUCCCUUCCCGGACUGCUUUUCCCAGAUGUGAUUGAUUGAUUGAUGUCCUCGUCAGAUUUCCAUGAGCCGAGCUGCCUGCUGUGGGGGCCAUGCUCAGCUGGUGAUUCAGGGUUCAACUAUCCCGAGCUGCGUGCGGUGGAAAUCUCUCCCCUGGAAUUAGAGAAGGCGACGCUGCCGCAGAAGACACCCUGCUCUCUUGAUGAGGUGCACUGGCUCACAGCCCUGGGCACGGCACUUGCAGAUAAGUGCCCAAGAGCAGCUGCAUGCCGGGCACUUGUAACUCAGUACCUGAGGAGUCCAGGCUGCUGCCAGCCGGGCAUGGAUGCUCCGAGCUGAGCAAACCCAAGAUCCCGUGGGAAAUAAAGACAGUGGCUUGCUCUGCACCCCCGCACCCCCCCGCUCUCACACUCUCUCAUUUGCCCUUGUCAGCGACUUUGGGAUGAGCCCAUUCCUUUAGUCUCUGAAACAAUGGCCUUUAAGACUGAAAAGCCCCUAAAUGAUUAUCUGCUGAGAAUGCAAGUUGUCUGUGACAUUUGUAUUCUAUUUAGUAUUGGCAAACGUGACUCCAUCUGUCUGUGGGAUACGACCUGAUAGUAUGACGCACACACAUAUGGAACGGUGUGAUUACGUGGAUUAACACGUCCAUCACUUCACACACUUAUCAUUUCUCUGCAGUGAGAACAUUCGAUAGCUGUUCUCUUAGCAAGUCUGAGACCUAUAGUGUGUUAGUGUCACUUAACACAUCACCAAUAGCAUCACUGUGCAGGCAAUGGGUCAGCAGAUCUGACCCCUUCUCAUAGAAGCCGAUCUCCCCUUUGUCCUCACCCACACACACACCAGCAGCAGCUCCUGGUACCAUGCUCUCUCGCUCUCUCUCUCUCUCUCUCUCUGAAGUUUUUAGACUCCACCUAUAAGUGAGAUCAUACAGUGCUGGGUUUUCAUUAAGCACCAGGGCGUCUGCAUCUCUCCGUGUUGAAGACGACACGGGCCGAACGGCAUUCCCGCGUGUGCAGGCACCGUGGCCCCUCCCUCUGUCCUGAUGGACACUCGCCCAGCGGGUUGAUUCCAGAUGUGCUCGGGUGUGCAAGCCGCUGCAGGAGGCGUGGGUGUGCAGAUGUGUCCCCGACACGUCCUUUGUGUCCCCAGCAGUGGGGCGGCUGGGUCGUCUGGGAGUUCCAGUUUGACUGGAAGAAGAGAAUGCGAUUCAGAGCCUGGGUUUUCGUUGGUUGUUUUGUCUCUGGUUUGGUCUGGUUGUUCCGGCCUCCUGCAAAGUUUGCAGUGCAGCUGGCCUUGAAGUCGGGGUUGCUUCCUUAUUUUGGCCCCAUCAGUAAGGAAUAUUUCGAUAGGUGUUUAGAAAAUACAGAUGAGCAAAAAGGAAAAACAUGUGAAGUUGCCUGCUCCCUCCACCCGCACUGUGCAAAUGCAACCGAGCCACGUUCACGAGCGUCUCACCCUCUGCCUUCCUGCG